GCACGUGAAACCUGCUUUUCAAUAUAUUGCUUCACCUCUUCUUCACUAUGAGGAUAAUGCAUGAUUAAACCAA
This 73-nucleotide transfer RNA is filed under the name Acinetobacter baumannii BJAB07104. Its description in RNAcentral is "tRNA-Glu". Lineage: Bacteria; Pseudomonadati; Pseudomonadota; Gammaproteobacteria; Moraxellales; Moraxellaceae. The record is from RNAcentral.